Long non-coding RNA from Ictalurus furcatus (blue catfish), 283 nucleotides. RefSeq lists it as uncharacterized. Lineage: Eukaryota; Metazoa; Chordata; Actinopteri; Siluriformes; Ictaluridae. The transcript is spliced from 3 exons. The record is from RefSeq and is a predicted model, not a curated record.
GAUCAACGAGAUGACGAGGGCGAUGGCGUUGAUGGCGCUAUUCGAGUGAAAGUUGAAGCUUUGGAAGCUGAUCUGUUUGAGCAAAUUGUACAGAUGAGGAGGCGAGAGAGCCGGACAGAAUACAGCAGUAAAGUGCCGCUGCAUCGCUCUCUCUAGUCCUGGUUUGAUCCUGCACUCCCCACAGUGGUCCACACUAUAAAAAGAAUAAAGAAAUCAGUUUCUCCAGGUUAAAGCGUGGAUUAUCUCGUACAGCAGACAGCUGUCUCACUCCUGACUCUCCCGG